Eleginops maclovinus (Patagonian blennie) is the source of this 7606-nucleotide long non-coding RNA. RefSeq lists it as uncharacterized. The record is from RefSeq and is a predicted model, not a curated record. NCBI's taxonomy places the organism in Eukaryota, Metazoa, Chordata, Actinopteri, Perciformes, Eleginopidae. The transcript has 4 exons.
UCUGGCAACACUGCGGCUCAACCAUUCUUUCUGAGGUUUCCCGUAGAUCCAACACUACGACCACGUGCAAAAACCGAAGUUAGUGCAAAGGAAACAGGCCACAGGUUAGUUACCCGAAGCAAAUGAGCAAACAGAAAGUAAAAACAUUUGGAUUAUUAAAAGUCUGGUGAAACUACAUAUUUGGAGGAAAUUUAGGAGGAUGCAAACAGCACCGCGAUGCUGGAGCUGAAAUCGAUGCACGAGCCUGGGGAUUUUACCUGGCGCUGGAUACCUCUGCACACAGGAGGGCAACAAAACCCCCCAGGUUUGAAGAGGACGUAAAGGAAGAUGGACACGACGGUCAGGAAGAAGCAGGCGGCCACAGUAGCGACCAGCAGCCAGAGCCCGUCCAUCAAGGUACGAGGUCUCCACUGAUUGGUCGUUGACGAGCCAUGUGACCACAGUGGACUCUGCCGUUUGGCAUUCAGUGAGCACCUUACAGAACAGCUCCAGUCCUGAACCUACAGACUUUCAAAGACAGUCCCAUUCUUUGGCGAGACAAUCACAGGGGGACGAAUCACUGGAGCUGAUUAGUGAGGGAUCACAUUAAGCAUCAGUUUUACCUUACACACAGGGUCAUUUGUUAAGUGUUGACUCCAGAUAAAACUUACUGUAAACCGUGCUGCUGCUGCUGCUGAGGAUCUCUGAGUCAGAGGUGGAGGAGAGGUCAUGCAAAGUGCUGGAGGUGGUGCUCGGUGGUUCAGGAUCUACGCCUUUAGAUAAACAAACAAAUGUAAACUCAUGCAAACAAACAACUCUCAAAACAGCUGCAAAAUUCACUUAUUGUCUUGCGUAAUAAUAAUAAUAAUAAUAAUCCACACCAUGUAAUAGUGCUUUGGCAUAUUGUGUAAUACUGAGUAAGGCCAGUAGAGGGCAGCGUUUGCUUAUAAUUGAUAGCGUCAAUACGGAGAAGUUAUCUAAUGACAAAUGGAUAUCAAUAUUCUACGUUAUCCUAUAAUAAGAGUAACAUUUGAUGAUCUAUAUAUUUAUCUAUCUGUUCUUUUUAUUUAAAUAUUUAGAAACAUUUAUAUUUGAACUGACUCAAUUAAUAAUCUGAAAAAAAACGAGUUUUUCAUGAAAUUAAUUUAAAUCCACAAGUUUCUUUUGUAUUUUUCUAGGAGCAAACAUAAAACAUGACAGGGGAAGUAUUAAAAUGGAUUAAGAAACCUAAAAUAUGUGCAAUUAACCAUAAUUAUACAGAUAUAUUAGCCUCAAAUAAGCCAAACAAUUGUAAGAGCUGGUGCAUUAGUUUAAAAUAAGCUAAAUUCAUCAAGUGCAUAAAAAAACCCACAAAAAAUGUACAGAUUAUUCUGCAUUUGCCACAUUUUUUAUAAAUAGUUUUCCAAACAAAAUAUAGAUAUCUUCCUGCUCUGUACCCUACACUCGUUGGGCUGUUCCUAUAAUAAAUGAAGUGUCGUCACCCACCUCUCACAAUGAGCGCGAUGCUUCUGCUCACUCUGUACGGCUGCUCAUCGAUGAGCACCGUGAGCCGACAGGUGUACUGACCUGCAUGUGAGUGCCUCACAGCAGGGAUUAUCAGCCUCCCUCUGGCCUGGCUGAAGGGGCCCGCUCUGCCUCGCCGAGGGUCCUGACAGGAAGAAACACACGGCGUCACUCGCGGAGAAAAAUACCGUACUGACAGUGAAAGGGUUGAAGGGUUCGAGCUAACUGUGGCCUCCCCUGACCCAUGUAGUUACAUAAAUAAACAUAAUAAAACUGUACAAUCUUAUAGGGUACAAUAUGAUGAACGUGCAUCACAGCAGCUCCAUUGGCAACAUCCAGGGAACAUACAUUUAACAAUCACUGGAGACAACCUUUUUAAGGCUAAUUUACGAUCAUUUGAUCGAAGGAUGUCAUCUUAGCUGCUUGCAACCACAAUAUAGACAUUGUUUGACUCUAAAAUUAAACUGUGAACUUCAUCCAUCCAUCCAUCCAUCUUCUCCUGCUUUUCCGUCAGGGUCGCGGAGGUAACAGCUCCAGCAGAGAGCCCCAAACUUUCCUUUCCCUGGCCACAUCAACCAGCUCUGACUGGGGGAUUCCAAGGCGCUCCCAGGCCAGCAAAGAGAUAUAAUCCCUCCACCUGGUCCUAGGUCUACCCCUCGGUCUCUUCCCAGCUGGACGUGCCUGGAACACCUCCCUAGGGAGGCGCCCAGGUGGCAUCCUCACUAGGUGCCUGAACCACCUCAACUGGCUCCUUUCAACGCGAAGGAGCAGCGGUUCUACUCCGAGUCCCUCCCGGAUGACUGAACUUCUCACCCUAUCCCUAAGGGAGAUGCCAGCCACCCUGCAGAGAAAUCCCAUCUCGGCCGCUUGUAUCCGCGAUCUCGUUCUUUCGGUCAUGACCCAUCCUUCAUGACCAUAGGUGAGGGUAGGAACGAAGAUGGCCCGGUAGACAGAGAGCUUUGCCUUCUGGCUCAGCUCUCUUUUCGUCACAACGGUUCGGUAAAGCGACUGCAGUACCGCUCCCGCUGCUCCGAUUCUCCGGCCCAUCUCACGCUCCAUUGUUCCCUCACUCGAGAACAAGACCCCGAGAUACUUGAACUCCUUCACUUGCGGUAAGGCUUCAUUCCCUACCUGGAGUGGACAAUCCAUCGGUUUCCUGCUGAGAACCAUGGCCUCAGAUUUGGAGGUGCUGAUCCUCAUCCCAGCCGCUUCACACUCGGCCGCGAACCGAUCCAGUGAGUGCUGAAGGUCACAGACCGAUGAAGCCAUUAGGACCACAUCAUCUGCAAAAAGCAGUGGUGCAAUCCUUAGCCCACCGAACUGCAGACCCCCUUCCCCACGACUACGCCUCGAAAUCCUGUCCAUGAAUAUCACAAACAGGAUUGGUGACAAAGCGCAGCCCUGGCGGAGGCCAGCCCUCACCGUAAAUCGGUCCGACGUGCUGCCGAGGACCCGGACACAGCUCUCGCUUUGAGAGUACAGAGAUUGGAUGGCCCUGAGCAGAGACCCCCUCACCCCAUACUCCCGCAGCACCUCCCACAGUAUCUCCCUGGGAACCCGGUCAUAUACCUUCUCCAAAUCCACAAAGCACAUGUAGACCGGAUGAGUGUACUCCCAGGCCCCCUCCAGGAUCCUUGCGAUGAGUGAAAAGCUGGUCCGUCGUUCCACGACCAGGACGAAAACCGCAUUGUUCCUCUUCAAUCUGAGGUUCGACAAUCGGCCGGACCCUCCUUUCCAGCACCUUAGAGUAAACUUUCCCGGGGAGGCUGAGUAAUGUGAUGCCUCUGUAAUUGGCACACACCCUCUGAUCCCCCUUUUUAAAGAGAGGAACCACCACCCCGGUCUGCCACUCCUUCGGUACUGUUUCCGACUUCCACGCAAUGUUGAUGAGACAUGUCAACCAUGACAGUCCCUCAACAAAGCCAACUUCUGUCGCCUGAGUCUGGUCCGUCGAGACCCUCUGCUUUCACUGCCACCCUUCUGGCAGCGCACCCGACCCCAUCGUUGUUUCCCGUAGGUGGUGGGCCCGCGGGACGGAGAAGCGGAGGUGUUGCCCACGUUGCUUUUUCAGGCUGUGCCGGUCCGGGCUUCGUGGCAAGCCCAGCCACCAGACGCUCGCUGACGAGUCCUCCUUCUGGGCCUGGCUCCAGAAGGGGACCCCGGGCUUCCUCCGGGCCGGGUAUCCUCGCUUCCAAUUGUGUUAUUCAUGGAGUCUUUUUGAACCAAUCUUAGUCUGGCCCCUACCUGAGACCAAUUUGCCAUGGGAGACCCUACCAGGAACACAAGGUUCCAGACAACACAGCCCCCAGGUUCAUCGGGGCACACAAACCUCUCCACCAUGAUAAGGUGCUGGUUCUCGGAAAGGUAAACUGUGAACUCAUGCAACAUAAAUAAAAUUGACCUGACUUUAAAAAACAUCUUAAAAAGAAGAUUUCUCUGCAUCGUUCCUUCAGUGUGUUUUCAUAAAUAAUAACGUCUUAUUUUCUUAGUAAAAAAGUGGAGGAAAAACAGAUAAGAGUUCCACCUAAAUCUGAAAAACAUCACAUUGCAAAAGUACUUUGAGAACAAAUACAUCUGAUGUAAAUAAUAAGCUGAUUUGCUUUGGAAACUGUCCCAAGCAAGUCAAAGAGAAUUACUUUUUUAAACACCUUUUGGCCGUAGAUGGGUUUUGAACCCGUCCUCUCACCUUGUUCCACUCAAUCAGAGUCUCUGUGUCGUUGAAGUCGUCCAGAGACGGACAAGCGUAUCUCAGAUUCUCUCCCACCUCCACUUCUACUUUGCUGGUCAGUUUCUCCUGGUCCACAGACCUGGACUCGUACACUCUCAGCGUUAUAUUCCCAGUCACACAGUACGUUUCAUUUCUGGGGACAAAAGUGAGGAGAUAAAAGGUUUAGAUCACCUGAAGAUGCAGCGAGUAAAUCAAAAGUUCUUCAACUGGACGGUUUAAAUCCUCACAAUGGCAAGUGUUUUCCUCUCUCAAGAGACUGAAAGCAAUGCUAAGGUUAAGGGCGGGACAUCUCUAAGCGGUUGACCAAUCACAACAGAGCUGGCCAGCUAACCAAUCAGAGCAGGCUGGGCUCUGGUUUCAGACAGAGGGUGAAAAGAGGUGCUGCAGCACAGGCAGUAUGAGAAACAUGAAGAGCUUUUUGAACAUUAGAGCAUGGAGACAGAGGCUCAAAAUACUCAUCAUAUGUCCUCUUAUGGAGUAAUGAAGAUGUCAGUACAGCUGGGGGAUGUAUUUUGUCUUAAAGUGUACCUGUAGUUGCAGGUGUAUUCUCCUGAGUCGGAGGCUUCUGCUGGGAGAAACCAAAGCUGUUUUUCCCGCUGCUGAACACGGCCCUCGCCCUGAAACGACACGCCCUCCAUCCCAUUGUCCUUGGUGAUGAGGUAGUUUGCGUUUGGGGGGGCGAUGUUGCGUUUUUCAAGCACUCCGUCAAACAUUGGGCAGGAGAGGAUUAUAGCCUCACCCUCCAACACAAAAAUAUCCACCUCUUCAGAAGCCAGGAAGCAGCCACCUGUUGGGGGGGGGGGGGGGGGGGGAACCAAAUAACAAUAUUUGAAAAAUGAUAGAUUCUGGUUAACAGUCCAAAAAGUAGAGCGUCAAUAUUCUAAAGUAAUGUAAUAUUAAAUGCAAUACACAUAAAUCCAAGAGAAAAUACAUAUCAAUUAGAUGUUUUUUAAGAGUCUUACGUGAGAAAACAGAAGAAAUCUAGACAUUUAGGAUCUAAAAUGUGUCCUUUUCUCAUAGUAAAACCUGCAUUCCAUGAAUCAUAUCCAGGCAGUAGCCUAACACUGAAUCACAUGAGCACAUAGUACAGUUUAAAAAAGCAGGAAUCAAAUCUGAGCUGACAGAAAAUGCUCUGUUUUAGUUUAACACACACAGUUAAGCUCACACACUAUUUAUGAACGUAUAGGUUCAGCUGCUGAAUUAAAAACAGAACAAAUGAAACAAAGAAAGAGAAAACCAUGAAGCAGAUUCAGGCAGUAUAGAUUCACUCUUAAAGUAUCAGCCUACAGAACAGAACAGCUGACAGAGGAGAGAGAACAUCUGAUCCACUCUUUUUUGAAAAAAAUCUAAAUUUGGAAAAUAAUCAAGAAUUUUGAGAAAAAAAUGACAAUUUUUGGGAACAGAGUGAGAAUUUACGAACUCAAUUCGGAAAAAUAUUCAGAAAUUUUAGAAAAAGGAUAGAUUUUUGGGCGGGAAAAUUGAGAAUUUUGAAAAAAAUGUCAAAAUUUUGAAACUUUUUUAGAUUUUUGGGGAAAAAAGUGAACAAAAUGAAGAUCUCAUGAAGCAGAUUCAGGCAGUAGGCGUACAGAUUCACACUUCAAGUAUCAGCCUACAGAACAGAACAGCUGACAGAGGAGAGAGAACAUCUGAUCCUUUUACAACAAACACUAUCUGCUCUUUUUACCUUCCUGUAAUCCCGUCACAUGUAAUCCAUUACUCCCCAUGCCUGAAUACAACCCAAGCAGUGACAGAACAACCAGCAUGCUCACCUUCCAUAGCCAGAGGAGGUAGCAGAGGGAUCCCCCCGACGUGUUGGAUGAGGAUCACAGUGAACAUCCACCCCGAGCGCAGCAUGGUGGCAGUCUGCAGGGACACAAGGCUCCACAGUCAUGCCUGCUACUGAGACUCUGCAAGCGUGGUUUCAUUUAAAGUCUCUCGUAGAUUAAACUUGUUACAUCACAAGAGUAGUCAUCGAAACGCCGGCACUCCCGUACAUCCCGCCCCCCCCCGAUUCACACACUCUCAACAGCCAAAUGUAACCAGUGGCUUGACUGACUGCAUCACAUGGGAUGAGUCAACUAGACCAGUCAACUUAAAGGGUGGAAGGUCACCGAUCCUUGCUGCGUUGCACUUUCUACCCAUUGCUUUUAGACACGCUUUCACGUUCUUAUUGUUGACUUUCGAGGCUGAGAUCCUCAGAGGUGUCGUUCCAGGGUCCAGAUCACUUUGAAGUCACUUUUACAAACUCACUUAUUUUGUUUUCAAUGUAUUCUCUCUCGAUGUCAUUUUGUUUUAUUAUUUGCAGUUUUUUUAAUGAUUUAUUCUCAUUUCAAGACUCUGUUUUAAUUUGAAUGAACUUGCUGUCCGUGGAUCUGUAUGUUAAAGCACUUUGUGAACUUUGUAUUAUUAAGAAUACUCUCUUACUCAGAACAUUCUGUAUAAAUCUGUGUUGUUAUUUCACUAUAUUUUCAUUUAAUUGAAUAAGAAAAGUAUUUCCUAACACAAGAGAAAAUGACAAUAGGUUUUACCACGUGGCUAAUAAUGUAUUGAUGAUGACCAUCUUUAGUUUACUAUAUUCUACUCGUAUAAUAUGUUGAUUAUACGUCUUGCAAUAACAAAUAUUGAAUUCUAUCUUGAAUUAUAUUCCAUAUGAUAUCCACAUUUUAAUAUAUACUCUACAUUGUUCCGUAUUAGUUUAUAUUUUCCGUUUAAUCUGAAGACCAGAAGGUAAAUUCUCCAAUUUGUUGCCACAGAGGGAAAUCAUAAUUUCCAUUGAAACCGGAUAAUUUUCACUUCUGCUUCAGUUUCCUCGUCUGUGAUUACAGGGAUUAGUUUACAGCAGGCAGAACUCCCCCCCCCCCCCCCACGCACGUACACACACACACACACACACAGCAGUCAUUAACCUUUUUCCGAGUUUCUUGAUCAGUGUGUCAUCAAAUGGCAAUCCCAUUUAUAAAACCAGUGGGAGUGCCAUUGUUGUAAAUGGGUUUUUAACGUGUGAGUCACGAUGCACCUCUGCAUUGUCCGUGAAUAAAUGAAACUAUUGAAAAUAUCCUACAAACUCCUGACGAUCAAUCAUCCCUUACUGCAUGUCAGUUACUCAACAGUUUAAUAAUACUGCAUGUAGGAGUUUAAUUCAGUCUCUGUCUGUUCAGAGGGAGCGUGAGUUCCAGUUACCCUUAUUGCAGAACUUUGGCUACGUUUUAGGAUAAAAUGGAUAUAUGCACACCAACCAUGUGUAAUUGCAUCAAAAGGUUUUUCACAGAAUAUUUAAGCAACUUCAGGAUGAAUCUCAAACGUUUCAAGACUCUGUUUUAAUUUGAAUGAACUUGCUGUCCGUGGAUUUGUAUGUUAAAGCACUUUGUAUUAUUAAGAAUACUCUCUUAAUCAGAA